RNAcentral lists this ribosomal RNA (464 nucleotides) under Vreelandella stevensii. RNAcentral's name for it is "partial 16S ribosomal RNA". It matches the Rfam family "Bacterial small subunit ribosomal RNA", at positions 338 to 794 of the family's 1533-position model. The record is from RNAcentral. Lineage: Bacteria; Pseudomonadati; Pseudomonadota; Gammaproteobacteria; Oceanospirillales; Halomonadaceae.
CCUACGGGAGGCAGCAGUGGGGAAUAUUGGACAAUGGGCGAAAGCCUGAUCCAGCCAUGCCGCGUGUGUGAAGAAGGCCUUCGGGUUGUAAAGCACUUUCAGUGGGGAAGAAAGCCUUGGGGCUAAUACCCUCGAGGAAGGACAUCACCCACAGAAGAAGCACCGGCUAACUCCGUGCCAGCAGCCGCGGUAAUACGGAGGGUGCGAGCGUUAAUCGGAAUUACUGGGCGUAAAGCGCGCGUAGGCGGCCUGAUAAGCCGGUUGUGAAAGCCCCGGGCUCAACCUGGGAACGGCAUCCGGAACUGUCAGGCUAGAGUGCAGGAGAGGAAGGUAGAAUUCCCGGUGUAGCGGUGAAAUGCGUAGAGAUCGGGAGGAAUACCAGUGGCGAAGGCGGCCUUCUGGACUGACACUGACGCUGAGGUGCGAAAGCGUGGGUAGCAAACAGGAUUAGAUACCCCAGUAGU